This 9950-nucleotide long non-coding RNA is filed under the name Pelobates cultripes (western spadefoot toad). The record is from RNAcentral. Lineage: Eukaryota; Metazoa; Chordata; Amphibia; Anura; Pelobatidae.
AUAACAUGCAUUUCUUUUAUAGAUGGACGAAAUAGACUAUAACAAGGCCCUGGAAAUGGCCCCAGAAAGAACAUUUUAUAGAUUCCCCCUAUAUCUGGUCAAUGGAGUACCUCUCAUGAAGCCCAUUGCUGAUGAUUGGCAGAGUGUGGAAAGGUUCCAGGCUCGACCAGAUGACUUGCUAAUAGCCACGUAUCCCAAAGCAGGUGAGAAGAUUGAUGUACCGUGUAAUGGCACCCCCAGGUAUAACAGAGGUUAACAGCCGUUUAGGAAAUAUUCCCUUCCAGAUAUACAGUCAGCUACUGUAGACACCAAUCCACCGAACCGGGGAAGCAUACGAAUGCUCUCAAACAUACGAAUGCUGUAAACAGCCGAAUAGGAAAACAGACAGAGCGGUGGGUUUAUUUUUCUUAUAUGCACAUUCUUAAAUAUUAGUACCACCCACAGGGUUUUGUAAAACAACCAAUAAACACGUAAUACACAGUAAAACACUCCCAUUCAUGCCAGCAGAAUCCUCCCCUCUGCCUGUGAUUUAAUUACUGAACACAAUGGGCUAACAUAAUUAUCACAGGCAGGAAAAUACACAGUUUUACACAAUAUUCAUAACUUUACAUACUUACAUUUUCAGAAUCAGCAUAUUCCAAAUACAAACAUAUGUCAAAAUCAUACAAAUUGGUCCAGUGGGUCAAAAGUUAGUUGGAAGUCCCUUUGUGACCACCUGCAAGCAUGGCUUGGGUGUGGUAAGCCAAUUAUCUCCAGCAUACAGAAAAUAGCUCUAUUCACAAUGUGAUCCUUGUUUGCAGAUAGCACGGUCUUCUAGGGUAAACAACAGGCAUGGUCCUUUUAUUUUCAUAUAAUCCAGGCACUUUAUUUGUAAGUCCACACAGUAGACAGCACCAAAUGAAAACAUAAAUAUAACACAAAUCCCUAUAAACAAAAACCUAGCUCAUCUGAGCACUUACUAACAUCAGGUUCCCUAUCUCUAGAACAAAACAAUAUUGGUUUCACCAGAUUAGUGUCUUUGUCAGCUCUCUGCACUCCAGUGCUUAGUCAGCCUGUUGCUUUACUUUCUACACUCCCAGUGCUCCAAGCCAGCCUUAACUGCUUUCCUUUUGCACACCCAGUGGUCCAAGCCAGCCUUGACUGCUUUCCUUUUGCACUCCCGGUGCUCAGUCUCCUUGACUCUCUCACUGGAGAGAACAGACUCUCUCCUACCUGCUUCCAGGGAGGAAGCCAGCAAUCCCCCUUUACCUGCUUAGCAUGGAGGGGUUUAUUCCCACUGCUACAGCUGAUUAUCUACAGCUGAGCAGUGGUUUGGAGACAGUUCCAAAAAAACUCUGGCCUGGACCUUAUUUCUCCCAGUUGUGUAUAAACUGAGGAGUGGAGCAUUGGCCCACCCUGCUCUCCAAAUGCUCCACCCCAGGGGCCCAUAACUAAACAUAGCUUUGUGUUGCACACCACACAUACAACACGUACUUCCCCUUGGAGUUUUUAAAUGUUAAAAGCCUCUCUGCCUUCACUUUAUCACAACAACAACAACAGUAAAAAUAGACAAAUAUACAUAAUUCCCAUUACACUAAACAGAACCCCCACAUUCAACCUAUCCCCAGAUAGCUUGGAUCUGAGCACUCAAUAUAUCCGAACAGUGCUCAGAUCCCACAAAGAGAACAAAAUCGCCAUAGGGUUAAGUCUAGCAUGGGCUGAUGAGAGGGGCCAUAGUCAUGAGGCAGGAGGCUGGCAACCAGGCUUCUCCAUAACCCAGUGACGAAGUUAGUUUCGCCACAUACCGGUCCUUCACUCAAUCUGUCUCCAUCUUCCAUUCAGCUAUUCUCUUGCUUUAAAAAUAAUUUAACUAAUGAAAGCAAUUGUUGAUUUUAUUAAAGACACAGAGGCUCUUAUGAUGCUCAACUCUUUCUUUAUUUCCCUCAGCAGCAAAGAAACAUGAAAGAAAUCAUAUGAACAAAACAUACAAAACUGCACAGAAACAUGUAGACCAGGUCCAUAAAAGGUGUGACUGAUAAACUCCUCAGCUUUCUUCGCUGCUCCCUCGGACCAGUUACUUAAUAAUUCUGUACACUUCACUACAAUAGUACACACAUAUAUUGCCAUAUGACUCUUCCAGUUUGUCUGUCCUGGUGUGUGCUCUGCCCUCUUCCCUGUCCCCUUUUCCACUUCCAAGGGACUUUUUUCUCCAUUCCAGGUGUUUGCUGCUCUCUGCUCCAUUCUGGGAGAGCAGUGCGGGUUGGCUGCAUGUUCGCACUUCUUUCUCGCUCACGCUGGCCUUUUUCCUGUGUGUUUGGUUGGCGCUCGUACACAUUGGCACUAAUGACGGCCAUAUUUUCAAUGGAUUUUCUGCCGUGAAUGACGGUCAUUCGUUCUGUGGUCAUUUUAGGAGGUGGGUCUGUUGAGUCCGAAUUUGGCGUGCUUUCCCAGGGUAGUGUUGCUUGUAGGCACCCAAUAGAGCCUGCUACCACGCCUGGAGCACCAUGGAAGGAAUCUGCUGUUCCUUAGAAGUAUUUAAAGUCAAAUUUCAAAGGAUUCACAGGGUACUGCAAAUAUAUACAUAUAUAUUAUAUACAAUGUUUCGACAUCAAUCCUUAAUCACCUACUGCUCGUUCUGUCGACAUUUUGUCCCUAACACCGGCACUUACUGCUUCUAGCUCCUUGGACUCAUCUGUGUUUGCUUCUACAGUGAGUUACUGCUUAAGGGUUAAUCAACCUUGAUCCUUUUAUUUUUGUUAGCUUAUAUAUUUUUUGUUACCUCUAUUCAUUUAAUUUUUGGGUACUGUAUUUCUGUGAUGAUUUGAGGUUUUUCACUGGUGCCAGUGAUUUUGUGCCACUUUUGUCCAAGUGCUGUGGUUGAUAUGCAUCCAAUGGGAUGAACCAACCUAUGGCCAUGUCAAAAUCAAAGAUAGUCCCAUCAGAUUUUGCAGACUCAAGCAGUUCAUACAAUUGGGCCCCAAGUAUCCAAAAUGUUUCUCCUGGCAGUUUUAAAGGGAACACUCCAGUCAUUUCUCAUGUUUCCCCUCAGUCUUAUUCAAGAAUUAAGUAAUCUGUGGAUCCACUUCAGGGGUCUUGCAUGCCAAGUCCGGCACAAAUGGCCCUCUUUGGAUAGAGGUUUACGCAUCCUCAAAGUCAAGUAUUGGGCAAUAUGCCAAGGGGUUUCCCAUUCAACUGACAGUGGAUAUCACAGACCAUGCAGGUCAAACAAGGGAAUACCCUGUGGGUUCCGGAGAUUGGCCUCCACGGUCUUCAAAAUGGAGCUGUGUAGGGGAGCGGGGCCGGACCGCCAGGCUGAACGGACACACAAUGGAGUAGCUCCUGCAAAAAUCUCCGGUUUUAGCAUUAAAACAACAGCUUCAAGCUUACCUGACAACUGGCUGCUGAACCCCGGCAUUAGAGGCCACCCUGGUCCCGAGGAGAGGCUUGCUGAGAAGUUUUAGUCCCUCGGAGGUGCGAUCCCUGUCGCGCGAUGAGGACCGCUCGGACGGUGAGCGGGGUGGACGGCCGCUGCCCAGCUAUCCUGCACACCAGCAGUAAGGCAGGAACCCGGGGCUAGGCGGGUCUGGCCCCGUGCCCCCCCUCCCCCGGGCCGGUGGGGGUGAUCCUGGUCCCCACCCCGUGACCCAUCGGAACACCACAACACUGGCGCCCGGAGCGGAGAAAGAGAGGGCCCAGCGCACAGUCCGUUUUUAAAAUGGUGGAGACCACGUGGCAGGCGACCCUGAUGACAGCCGGGCGCACUCACACCUCCUGUAGCCUCAUAAGCAGCCUAUCGAACCAGACAGAGCAGGAACCGGCAAAAAGGGUAAUAAGACCCCAAGAGGUGAACUAAGGAAGAACUAUUACGGAAUAACAGCCUACAUACCAUACCAUGCUGCACACAGUGAGGGAGCCGAAACACACGGACUGACCACCCAUGGUAACAUGAUUUCUGGAGCCUCUCUACAGUCUGAGACAAGUGCUGGACCGUUCUACUCACAAAGGGACUAUGAGCAGUACAGUAGCCACCGAGCUUCCCGUAGCAACAGUCAUGCUGCACAAAGGCUGGUCUCCUGACAGGCAAACAAUGAUCCUCGUCUGGCUGACAUGGGACUCACUUGGGGGGAUACUCCAGAGGCUAAUCUUAAAUGCUAGGGCUGUUUAUUAGAGCUGCACAUGUUUAGUCCAAGCAUAACAUAACCUCUCACAAAGCUCAGGCAGCCAACCAAGAUGUAUACUCGUUAUUGUAGUCAGUGUAAGAAGAGCUUAUUUACUAUCAUUUAGAACUUUAGUAAUAACAGUCAUCAACUACUCGAAUGUCAAUGUUAUAUCUUACAGGAUAAAAAAUGCAUACUCAUUUACUGUAGUCACUAGUGUGUAUCGGAUGUUAGAAUACACAAUCAAUAGACUCAUCAACAAAGUAACAACCAAUUACUUAUGUAUGCACGGUUUAAUUGAUCUAUACAAAUGCUACUCAAGCACUCUAAGCGUGUCCUAUUAUAAAAAUUAAAUGUGCUGUAAACUCUGCCAUGAUAUUGUAUACCAAUGCAUAGCUGGUACUCGCUGUUGUGGCGUUACGAGCCUGUUUGUAAAUGUAAGCACAAGAAAAAUAAAGAAUUAAAAAAAAAAAUGGAACUGUGUUACUUAGACUCAACACCUUUGGGAGUAUCAUUCCCUUCGGCCUUGCAGGUGGCAGACUCAGCUUCAUCAUAAGAAGCAUAACCAGGUUCAUCUGAACUGUCCUCUUCACCGAGGUCUGCAUCAGACCAAUCUUGAAAGACGAACAGGUUGUUCCAGAUUGUAUCUGUUAUCUGUCCUUAGGUGUUCGCUAGAAAGAGGAGGUGUUUAUCAGUCACAUGUUUUAUAGACCUGGCCUACAUUCUGAUUGGUUGCACUGUUUUUAUGCAGUUUUAUAUAUUUUAUUCACAUGAUGUAUUUCAUAUUUAUUUGCUGCUGAGGGAAAAAAAUACAUUUUUAAGCAGAAUACUCGCCUCCGUGUCGUUAAUAAAAUUGUGACUUUAAAUCAUGUUAAUAGUAAAAUCUGGGAACUUUGCUGCCUAGUUGUUUUCAUUUGUAUAUUCUUUCAAAUUUCUGUGUUGUGGACAAUUCUCUGUUUCCCAAGGUACCACGUGGAUGCAGGAGAUUGUGGAUUUAAUUGUGAGUGAAGGAGAUGUGGAGAAAACCAAACGUGCUCCCACCCAUGUUCGCUUUCCUUUCAUGGAAAUGACUCUCCCUCUUUUACCCUCCGGUAAGCAAACCACGCAUCCACCCCCCAAUGUGAUGACCUAUGGCCACUGCAAUCAUGGCCCAUGUGUUGAUUAGCAUCUCGUUGUCUGGCAGGAGUCGAUAUACUGGAGAAGACGCCAUCUCCUCGACUAAUCAAAACCCACCUGCCUUAUGAACUGAUACCCAAAUCCAUCUGGGAUCAUAACUGCAAGGUAUACAUUGAAUUACAAACCUGCUUUAAAAAACCCGUUAUACGUUGCUGUGGCAGAAAGUUAUCUGUAUUUAGUUAGAUAGUGUGUCUGUGUUAAUAGGUGCAAAUGGAUGAAGUGACUCUGUUAAUGGGGUCUCUGUAUUAAUGGAUGCAAGGUGAUGGGGUGUCUGAGUUAAUGGAUGCAAGGUGAUGGGGUGUCUGAGUUAAUGGGUGUGAGGAGAUGGGGUGUCUGCGUUAAUGGAUCCAAUGUGAUGGGGUGUCUGUGUUAAUGGGGUGUCUGUGUUAGUGGGUGGGAGCUGAUGGGGUGUCUGCGUUAAUGGGGUGGGAGUUGAUGGAGUGUCUGCGUUAGUGGGUGUGAAGUGAUGGGUAUCUGUAUUAAUAGGUGCAAGGUGAUGGGGUGUCUGUGGGUGGGAGGUGAUGGGGUGGCUGUGUUAGUGGGGUGUCUGUGUUAAUGGGGUGUCUGUGUUAGUGGGUGGGAGCUGAUGGGGUGUCUGUGUUAAUGGGGUGUCUGGGUUAGUAUGUGGGAGCUGAUGGGGUGUCUGUGUUAAUGGGGUGUCUGGGCUAGUAGGUGGGAGCUGAUGGGGGGUCUGUGUAAAGGGUUUGGUUUGCUGGGAUAUUUGCAUUAAUAAGGUUGAUGGGGGUCUGAUGAGAUAUUUACAUUAAUACGUUGAGGGAUGACGGUGUACUUAUAUGAAUGAGGUGGGGCAGAUCGGAUAUUUGCAUUAAUGACUUGGGGCUGAUGGGGUAUUUACAUUAAUGAGUUGGGGGUUGAUAUGGUAUUUAUAUUAACGAGGCAGGGGCAGAUGGGGUAUUUACAUUAAUGAGUUGGGGGUUGAUGGGGUAUUUACAUUAAUGAGUUGAGGGCAGAUAGGGUAUUUAAAUUAAUGAGUUUUGGGCAGAUGGGGUAUUUACAUUAAUGGAGUAAUAGUUUAUGGAGUAUUUGUGUUGAUGGGUUGGGGUUGAUGGUGUAUUUCUAUUAAUGGGGUUAAGAGUUGGAUAUUAUUGCACUUUUUCUCUGCUAGGUGAUCUACGUUGCCCGUAACGCUAAGGACAAUGCCGUGUCUUACUAUCACUUUGAUAAGAUGAACAAGACGCAGCCUGAUCCUGGCACGUGGGAGGAAUACGUGGAGGCAUUCUUAAAAGGGAAAGGUGUGUACCCAACCUGGAGAUAUCGUAAGCCAAGUAACUUCUGGAGUCCAGUAACCUGUUCUUACCCUAGACCUAGCACACAAAGGUGUUAAUGGACACCUUAAUGGGUAUCAUUCCUUAUACAUUUUCCUUUGCUGACUUGUGUCUGGUAUUGUAGAACUAUAAUCACAUUACAAUCCAUUUUGUUCUGUUGGUAAUGUCGCUUACUUCAGAAAAUGUUAUAGUCUUAAAUCUGGGCCUAAACUGGGUCAAGAUGUGAUAAUCUUGCAAUGUCGCGCUUGAUAGGUUGAUAUUAUGAGGUUAAUGACAAAAGGGAAGAAAUUAAAACUUUCUGGACGUUUUUUGAUAUCACAAAAAGUUCAUUAAUAAUGCUAAUAGGUUACAAAUGUUUAAGAAAAUCCAUUAAGUACCAAUAGGACAUAGUGUGUGUUAGACUUGAAGAUUUGUGUAGUUCCUAACUUGGGCUUAUCGAACAAAUUCCUGAAUUCUGAGACGAAAUGUAGCUGAAUGGCUUGUGCAAUGGACAAUCGACUCGUGCAAUGGACAGGUUUUCACAUUUCUUGUGUACUGUCGACAGGGUGCUUUCUUCCUCCAUCUAUUCGUAAGUGUGGGGAUUCCCCCUCUGUACAGCUUACAGCUUGGGUGUCCAACGGUCCGUAAUCAACAGUCACCCGCACUCCAAGUCUGCAAAAACCUCUGGUCUAGUUCACGUACCGACUUCACAGUUUAUCUUGCCCUCUCCUUCUCAAUAAACCAAUCUCAGUGCUCUGGAUCUGAUUAAACUAAUGUUGUAUCUCGGUCGUGUCUUCUGCUCAUCUCACAUCCCUCGGACCCUGCAGACACCAAACCUCCGACGUCUUACGUCAUAUCCUCUCCUCCCAUCAUGCAACGGACAAGCAUGUUUGUUUGAUUAGUGAUUUGGAAUUCUGUCCAUGGCAACAAAAGAAGGAGAUGACUAUUGGGGAAAAAUGAUUGAAGGUUAGGGGAAAGUACCUAAAUUUAAAUUUUACUCAGAUAUCAAAUGAGAAGUGACCGAUAGAGGUCAUUUGAUCUUUGAACCAAUAUUGGAAAAAUGUGCUUCUCUUUGUACUGCAAAAUAUACACAGAAUAUUUAGAUUAUAUUUGUAUUAUUAUAUAUUUUGUAGAACACUGAUUGGCCCAUUUUCACAUCCUUGUGGUUCAUGUGUUUCAUUUCAUCCCAAAUCUUUUUCGUUAAUGAAAUUCAGCCUUCCCAAAUUGCCACUUUUUAAUAUCACAGUGUUUCGGCCAACACUAUUUUUUUCAGUGUGACAUGUCUAAUGGGCGUGUUCUUCCCUAAUAUUUCUCAUAUCAUGCACAUGUGUACUUGGUAUGUUUCAGAUAAUUUAAUGACCUUUAAUUACAUUGCUUAUUUGCCCAUUACUGGUCUGAUUAAUAGGGAAUUGUUAAUUAACGCUGUGUGUGCACGACAUCAGUUUAGAGGAGCUGUUUGUGGUGUUCAUUUUGCCUAUGAACUAACUAUUAGAAAUAUUUCAGGGUAUUGAUUAUAUGUUAAAUUCACUAUGUUUUCCAUGGUCCCUUUAAAGUAUCAAUACGCUCUCUAUGGCAGGAUUGUAAUGGCUGAAACUGACAAUCCAAGCACCAAAACAACUACAGUCUAUAUACAGUGGUCCUUGUCCAAAGAGACUGUCCCUGAAGCCUCAGCAACACAAACACGGUCUUUCCUGAGAAAGACCACCUCUCUCAGACGGGUACUAGAGGUACUUUGUGCUUCGCCCCUGCAAUCUAAGCAGGUCCAACAUUCGGUGUCUUGGUGCUCUGCACAUUCCCCAUACAGAUGCUUGUAUUUCUAUCACGAAGAACCAUUAAAUACUACCUAAUGUUUAGUUUAAAUAUGGAUCUGAAGAUGUAUUCUACAACAAUUAGGGGAAACUGAAAACCAAUUAGGAAAAUGUGCACAAUAUUUCCAAUAGUUUAGAUUUAUCCCUGAGCACAGCUAGCGUCAAGCCACCCAAGCAAUGCAACAGAAUAACUGUUCUGAGAAAGCAGAAAGUCAGACAAUCACUUUGAAGGAGAUAAAGGGUUCACGGGCUGGGAGUGAAGUCAUCUUUAUCUCGUAUUACGAGACAAUUGGUCAUAAGUUUCAUUAUUUAAUACAAGACACUGUAUAUAUUAUUAUACAUAAUCACAGACCGUAAACAGCUGGAAAAACAAACCUACAUUUAUCAACUUGGACUUCACAUAGACUCACAAUCUUUCUUUUCACAGUGGGCUGGGGCAGUUGGUUUGACCACGUGAUCGGCUGGUGGAAAGCAAAAGACAAACACCGAAUCCUGUACAUGUUCUACGAGGAUAUGAAGGAGGUGAGAGGUUGAUUCACAGAUGGAAUGGGGGCAUUUAAUGUUGUAGCUUCUAACAGGACACUUUCUUUCUCACCAGGAUCCAAAGCGUGAGAUCCGGAAGGUGAUGGAUUUCCUGGGUAAGAAUCUGUCUGAGGAUAUUCUGGAGAAGAUCUAUCGGCACACCUCAUUCCAGGCCAUGAAGGACAACCCCAUGGCCAACUACACCACCAUUCCAUCUUCUGUAUUAGACCAUUCAUGCUCUCCAUUCAUGAGAAAAGGUGAGAACAGUAUUUUAUUUUAAUUUCCCUCUCUCAUAUUUAGAAAUGAUUAAAAUCUGUGCUUAAUUUUCUAACGCCACCAUUUAAUGUGAUUUUUCUCAUUUCAGGGGAAGUGGGUGAUUGGGUGAAUCAUUUCACAGAAGCUCAGAGCGAGGCUUAUAACAACGAGUACAAUAAAAAGAUGCAGGGAAUUGACCUCGUGUUCCGUUGCAAAAUUUAAUCUGAAAGGACACAUUGAGUUGCGGGAACCCCAUAUACCUCCUGAGACAAUUGUCAGAAGAUAAAAAUGCACCUAACUCUACUAAUUAUCUUACAUACCUAUCCAAAGAGCUACAAAGGAAGUCAAUAUAUGUGAAUAUUGAUACUGUGACAAUGACAGCUCACUCCUUUCUCUCAGGGCUGUAUUAACGCAUGGGCACGCUGGGCAGUUGCCUGGGGGCCCCAUGAGCAAAGGAGCCAACUUUUCAGGGUGUUAUUUUGGGAGAAUAAUUCAGAAGCUUCAAACUCUCUUUAUUAAAAUGUUUAGGUUGACUAGUCACCGCAGGUUUAGCUGUUAUCUGUACAUACGAUGUUGCUGUUGCGAAUACGUUUCUUGACCUUGACGAAAACAACGUACACAUACUAAUUGCGCAUAAGCAAAACAAAAUAAAGCCUAAUAAAGUAUUUCUGAUAUUUUUACCACUCCAUGUCACUUGCCUCCCCCUGCUACCUACUAAAAGCUUGUAUGGAUUAAAAUGUUUUAAUGUUUAAACACUGAUUCUGUUGCAGGUAACUGCGUUCUCUGAC